GCCGUAAUGUAGGGUAAUGGGUAAGGUGUUGGUCUUGUAACCUAAAGGUCACGGGUUCUAUUCCCUGGUAGGGCA
This 75-nucleotide transfer RNA is filed under the name Anguilla anguilla (European eel). RNAcentral's name for it is "tRNA-OTHER". Lineage: Eukaryota; Metazoa; Chordata; Actinopteri; Anguilliformes; Anguillidae. The record is from RNAcentral.